RNAcentral lists this ribosomal RNA (489 nucleotides) under uncultured bacterium. RNAcentral describes it as "bacterial SSU rRNA". It matches the Rfam family "Bacterial small subunit ribosomal RNA", at positions 62 to 507 of the family's 1533-position model. The record is from RNAcentral.
UCGAACGCAUCAGCAAUUAGUGGAAAGCCUCUUGAGGCGGGGAAGGGGAGAAAUCUCUGGAGCCGUGGAUGGGGGUCGGAAGCUUGACGCUGGUGAGUGGCGGAUGGGUGAGUAACACGUCGGUGACCUGCCCCAAAGUGGGGAAUAACUGCCCGAAAGGACAGCUAAUUCCGCAUGUGGUCUGUCGUUCGCUCGACAGAUUAAAGGCGAAAGCCGCUUUGGGAGGGGCUCGCGGCCGAUUAGCUAGUUGGUAGGGUAAUGGCUUACCAAGGCGAUGAUCGGUAGCUGGUCUGAGAGGAUGAUCAGCCACACUGGCACUGACACACGGGCCAGACUCCUACGGGAGGCAGCAGCAAGGAAUAUUGCACAAUGGGCGAAAGCCUGAUGCAGCAACGCCGCGUGGGCGAUGAAGGCCUUCGGGUUGUAAAGCCCUUUUCUGCGGGGAGAGCAAGGACGGUACCGCAGGAAUAAGUCUCGGCUAACUACGUG